RNAcentral lists this long non-coding RNA (468 nucleotides) under Zea mays. RNAcentral's name for it is "long non-coding RNA (ZMAY_LNC005205)". The record is from RNAcentral. Lineage: Eukaryota; Viridiplantae; Streptophyta; Magnoliopsida; Poales; Poaceae.
CCAACAAACAGUAUCAACAACGAAAGAGAAGAUUAAUGAUAGGAUUGAGUAACAAAGGUAAAUCAGUUGUGAAAGUGGGCAUGCAAAAAUAAAAAAAAGAUGGUGGUUUGCUUAGUGAGGUUCUGGGCCUGAGCCGGGCUCAAAGUGCAGCGGCUUGUUAUCCUCCCACCGUUGAAAGUGGGCAGUGAUCGCUGCUCUGUGAAGCCAGCCUUACGCCAUUCCUGCCAACAAACAGUAUCAACAACGAAAGAGAAGAUUAAUGAUAGGAUUGAGUAACAAAGGUAAAUCAGUUGUGAAAGUGGGCAUGCAAAAAUAAAAAAAAGAUGGUGGUUUGCUUAGUGAGGUUCUGGGCCUGAGCCGGGCUCAAAGUGCAGCGGCUUGUUAUCCUGCCACCGUUGAAAGUGGGCAGUGAGCAACUUGGGAUGGGCAAGCCGGCCAAUGUCACAACGAGCCCAAGGCCCAGAAAUU